UACGGAGGGUGCGAGCGUUAAUCGGAAUUACUGGGCGUAAAGCGUGCGCAGGCGGCCCGUUAAGACAGGUGUGAAAUCCCUGGGCUCAACCUAGGAAUUGCGCUUGUAACUGGCGGGCUCGAGUACGGUAGAGGGGGGUGGAAUUCCUGGUGUAGCAGUGAAAUGCGUAGAGAUCAGGAGGAACACCGAUGGCGAAGGCAGCCCCCUGGGCCUGUACUGACGCUCAUGCACGAAAGCGUGGGGAGCAAACAGG
Molecule: ribosomal RNA, 253 nt
Filed under: uncultured microorganism
Description: partial 16S ribosomal RNA
Rfam family: Bacterial small subunit ribosomal RNA
Source: RNAcentral